RNAcentral lists this long non-coding RNA (217 nucleotides) under Lathyrus oleraceus (garden pea). Its description in RNAcentral is "Pisum sativum (pea) long non-coding RNA (PSAT_LNC001429)". The record is from RNAcentral. Lineage: Eukaryota; Viridiplantae; Streptophyta; Magnoliopsida; Fabales; Fabaceae.
CAAAAUUAGGGAUAAAGAAGAUCAAUCAAAAGAGGUCACCAAAAUCCUCAACAAAACAAAAAAUAUAAAAUAUGGUGACUGCCAUUUCAAGAAAAUUCGUCUUGAAUCCUCAUCACACCUUCGAACCCUCUUGGAAGUCGAAUACGUGUAUUUGAAUUAACUGAACAUAGGAACUGGAGAUCAUCAAGAAGAAGGGGUGGGUAAAAAAUAACUUUUG